UUGUAGGGUAAAGGCCUACCAAGCCAUUAAUCGUUAGCCGGCCUGAAGAGGGCACACGGCCACCAUUGCACUGAAACCCGGCCCAAGCUUCCUACGGGAGGCAGCAGUGGGGGAUCCUUCACCAUAUGCAGGAACUUCUGAUGCAGCGACGCCCGCGUGAGCGAUGAAGCCCUUUCGGGGUGUAAAGUCUAUGGGCAGGAACGAUAAUAGACGGUACCUGCAGAAGAAAGCUGCGGCUAACUACGUGCCAGCAGCCGCGGUAAUACGUAGGCAGCAAGCGUUGUUCGGAAUUACUGGGCGUAAAGAGUGUGUAGGCGGUUCUCUAAGUUCGGUGUGAAAUCUCCCGGCUCAACUGGGAGGGUGCGCCGGAAACUGGAGGGCUCGAGUAUGGGAGAGGAAAGCGGAAUUCCUGGUGUAGCGGUGAAAUGCGUAGAUAUCAGGAGGAACACCUGCGGUGUAGACAGCUUUCUGGACCAUCACUGACGCUGAGACACGAAAGCGUGGGUAGCAAACAUAAUUAGAUACCCUGGUAGUCCACGCCCUAAACGAUGCCUCCCAGGUGUGAGCCGUUCAUUCGGUUCGUGCCGGAGCUAACGCGUUAAGUAUGCCGCCUGGGGAGUACGUUCGCAAGGCUGAAACUCAAAGGAAUUGACGGGGGCCCGCACAAGCGGUGGAGCAUGUGGU
RNAcentral lists this ribosomal RNA (684 nucleotides) under uncultured bacterium. RNAcentral's name for it is "bacterial SSU rRNA". It matches the Rfam family "Bacterial small subunit ribosomal RNA", at positions 250 to 945 of the family's 1533-position model. The record is from RNAcentral.